CACACGGACGGAUGGACGGACGGACGGCUCUGCGGAGAGCAACCUGAAGUUACUCGAGAGUGACCAGGAGAGAAGAACGGAAUGGUGACACCCUGCAGUAGACGUCCGUCCUUAAGUUUGUAAAGAGGGAAUUGAAAAGCAUCAAGUCCUCACUAUCGGCCUGGGAAAACAAUGAAAGACAAUGAAGCCUGGGGAUUUGGUGUUUUCAUGGAGGGUGAUGGCCAAGCCGCAGCAAUGAAGGGCAGGAGUGGCUUUCCUGCAUUUGAGAGAAACACUUCUGUCAUUCCAUCGAUUCAAGAACAUCAGCUGGCCUCGAGGGUUUCGAGAGAAGUGGUUCUCCAUUACUCCUGUUUAAGUCCUCAGCUUCCAUCACUGAGGCUGGUACAUGGAAUAUGCUAUAAAAAUCUUUUCAAUAAAUGAGUGAAAGAAUUCACUAGGCGCAAUGCCUUGUGGGAGUGAGGCAUACAAGUGCUGGGAGCAGUAGUGCAUACCCAUUGGGAAAGGUGAUAAGAUGAAACUUAACAAGUAGUAGGUUCCAGACACAGCCCUUGCUUUAUACUUCAGAACUCAGACUGGAAAGACUUGGACUUACCAUGUCAAUUCCAGGAAAUUUCUUCUUUGGGCUGUUAACCCCUGGAAAGCUAAAUUUCACUAGUAAACACCAUCUUUCUACUGAGAAAUUGAUGGAUGAAUUCUGAAAUGAAGAAGGACAAACAACAACUUCCAAAACUAAUGACUGCAGAUUACAAUAGAAGAAAUUCCCCAGCCCCUGCUAACAGAGGCAGCUUAACCCCCCACAGAUGUGCAGGAAUAAUGCCUUUGCUCUCUGGAGACAAGUCAAAGGGAUCUGAAAAUCUUUCAGGGCUUGAGAAGCGUGAGUAGGUUUUCUGCACAGCCAACAGAUAUGCAGAUUCCAGGAGAAAUUGAGUCUCUGCCAGAGAAUCAGGCCUAAAAAAGAAAAUCUCAAAAAUAAUGGGAGAGAAGAAAGCAAAACCAAAGCACAAAUAAAUAGCAGAGAAAAAAUAGAAAUACUUUUUGGUUGGCCUUCUAAAUACUGAAUAUAGUUGUGAGGAAGAAGAAGCCGGGAAUGUUCAUUGGAUAAGAUCUACCAUAACAUGUCUCUUUUUGAAAUUUUUCAUUUGAUUUUUAAUGGAGAGGAGCACAGGACAGAGAGAGGGUCAAAAGAAAAAUAUUUGCAUCGCACUGAUUUCCUCCUAAAGCUCUGACAUCCAUCUUCAUUUCAAAGGAGGCAUUUGCUCAAAUCCCUUUUUUACAAGAGGAAAAAUCCAAAAGACAAUAGAGACAUUAUCCACUCUGUGGCCUUUGACAGCUAAAGAUCAUAGAAAUCCACAACCUUUCCUGUUGGCCAAAUCGGUUCCUCAUCCUGGAAGUGAGCAGGAAUGUCAGGAGGAAGGAGGAGUGAAGGUUUUUCUAAAUUAUCUCAUUAUCAUGCCACUUGAGUAAUCGCUAUGAAAGUGAGGCUCCACAGAUGCUUCUUCCAGCACACACGGAAAUCAUCUUCAGGACAUCUCAAGGGAGCAUGAGAAAUUUUUCGCUAAUGGACUUUCAUUUUCCACACUAUAUUUUGUCUUAUGACCACACCAGCUGUAGUAUGGGAUAAUGGAAAAGAGUGACACAGUGCUGGGAUCUAAUUCCAACUUUACCCUUCAAUGCUGGCCCCACCUGGGAUAAGCUGGUUACCUUCUCUCUGAGACUAUUCAACCUUUUUGAAGAAAAGAGAUUGUGUUACAGCUCUCAAGGUUUGCCUAGAGGACUGAAUAAGCAAGUCUAUGUGAAAGUGCUUUGUAUCUGGUGAAAACCUAGUAUUCUUUGAUGUUCUUGUUCCGAAACAAACCACUCAUCCAUUCAAACUUCUCAGGCUUAGUCUCUUGAUUCUUCAUUCUUCUCGUCUUCAAAGUAGUUUAUUCAAUACUAUAUAAUAAUGAUCACCUAGCCCAUAAUGCCUGAUACCAUGUCCAUUGUCUAAAAUAUCUAUUAAAUUCGUGAGCUCCUAAAUUAUCAUCUAAGUAUGGCAAAACUAUACCCAUAAUGACAUCCUGCUACUUUUGAUAGCUUAAAAAAGUGUUACUAUAUAUUUUAUAAGUUUGUAUUGUCAUUAUUACUUUUGUACCUAGAUCUUGUAACCCGAACAACUACUUAUAAGAUAAUAAUAUGCAAUAUAUUAACUAGUGUAAAUUUCCUACUGUUUUCACAAUUCUGUAUCAUUUCUAUCCUCUUUUUUUGUUUUGCUUUUUAAAAUAAAAUUUAUACAACAAC
Cavia porcellus (domestic guinea pig) is the source of this 2277-nucleotide long non-coding RNA. RefSeq lists it as uncharacterized. Lineage: Eukaryota; Metazoa; Chordata; Mammalia; Rodentia; Caviidae. The record is from RefSeq and is a predicted model, not a curated record. The transcript is spliced from 3 exons.